RNAcentral lists this transfer RNA (77 nucleotides) under Cordylochernes scorpioides. RNAcentral describes it as "tRNA-Thr". Lineage: Eukaryota; Metazoa; Arthropoda; Arachnida; Pseudoscorpiones; Chernetidae. The record is from RNAcentral.
GUUCAGGGUAGCCUAGUGGACAUGGCAUCUGCCCGGUAAGCGGAACAUUGUGGGUUCGAUUCCAAUCGCACUGGACA